GACGAACGCUGGCGGCGUGCCUAAUACAUGCAAGUAGAACGCACAGUUUAUACCGUAGCUUGCUACACCAUAGACUGUGAGUUGCGAACGGGUGAGUAACGCGUAGGUAACCUGCCUGGUAGCGGGGGAUAACUAUUGGAAACGAUAGCUAAUACCGCAUAAUAUUGAUUAUUGCAUGAUAAUUAAUUGAAAGGUGCAAUUGCACCACUACCAGAUGGACCUGCGUUGUAUUAGCUAGUAGGUGAGGUAAAGGCUCACCUAGGCGACGAUACAUAGCCGACCGGAGAGGGUGAUCGGCCACACUGGGACUGAGACACGGCCCAGACUCCUACGGGAGGCAGCAGUAGGGAAUCUUCGGCAAUGGACGAAAGUCUGACCGAGCAACGCCGCGUGAGUGAAGAAGGUUUUCGGAUCGUAAAGCUCUGUUGUAAGAGAAGAACGGGUGUGAGAGUGGAAAGUUCACACUGUGACGGUAUCUUACCAGAAAGGGACGGCUAACUACGUG
Molecule: ribosomal RNA, 505 nt
Filed under: uncultured bacterium
Lineage: Bacteria
Description: partial 16S ribosomal RNA
Rfam family: Bacterial small subunit ribosomal RNA
Source: RNAcentral